RNAcentral lists this ribosomal RNA (265 nucleotides) under uncultured prokaryote. RNAcentral's name for it is "partial 16S ribosomal RNA". It matches the Rfam family "Bacterial small subunit ribosomal RNA", at positions 524 to 788 of the family's 1533-position model. The record is from RNAcentral.
UACGUAGGGUCCGAGCGUUGUCCGGAAUUAUUGGGCGUAAAGGGCUCGUAGGCGGUCUGUCGCGUCGGGAGUGAAAACACGGAGCUCAACUCCGUGCUGGCUCUCGAUACGGGCAGACUAGAGGUAUGCAGGGGAGAAUGGAAUUCCUGGUGUAGCGGUGAAAUGCGCAGAUAUCAGGAGGAACACCGGUGGCGAAGGCGGUUCUCUGGGCAUUACCUGACGCUGAGGAGCGAAAGUGUGGGUAGCGAACAGGAUUAGAUACCCU